RNAcentral lists this ribosomal RNA (496 nucleotides) under uncultured bacterium. RNAcentral describes it as "partial 16S ribosomal RNA". It matches the Rfam family "Bacterial small subunit ribosomal RNA", at positions 29 to 507 of the family's 1533-position model. The record is from RNAcentral.
AUGAACGCUGGCGGCGUGCCUAAUCCAUGCAAGUCGAGCGAACAGAUAAGGAGCUUGCUCCUUUGACGUUAGCGGCGGACGGGUGAGUAACACGUGGGUAACCUACCUAUAAGACUGGGAUAACUUCGGGAAACCGGAGCUAAUACCGGAUAACAUUUGGAACCGCAUGGUUCUAAAGUGAAAGAUGGUUUUGCUAUCACUUAUAGAUGGACCCGCGCCGUAUUAGCUAGUUGGUAAGGUAACGGCUUACCAAGGCAACGAUACGUAGCCGACCUGAGGGGGUGAUCGGCCAGGUGGGAGCUGCGACCCGGCCCAGACUCCGAGGGGAGGCACCAGGGGGAAAUCUUCCGAAAUGGGGAAAGGCUUGAGGGAGCAGCGCCGCGGGGGUAAAGAAGGUGUUGGGCUCGUAAACCUUUUUUAUUAGGGAAAAAAAAAUGUAUAAGUAACUGUGCACGUCUAGACGGUACCUAACAAGAAAGCCACGCCUAACUACGUG